GAACGCUAGCGACAGGCCUAACACAUGCAAGUCGAGGGGCAGCACAAGGAGCAAUCUGAGGUGGCGACCGGCGCACGGGUGAGUAACACGUAUGCAACCUGCCUGUAAGCGGGGAAUAACCCGUUGAAAGACGGACUAAUACCGCAUAAUACUAAAUUACUGCAUGGUAAUUUAUUUAAACAUUUAUGGCUUACAGAUGGGCAUGCGCAUGAUUAGCUAGUUGGAGAGGUAACGGCUCCCCAAGGCAACGAUCAUUAGGGGUUCUGAGAGGAAGGUCCCCCACACUGGUACUGAGACACGGACCAGACUCCUACGGGAGGCAGCAGUGAGGAAUAUUGGUCAAUGGACGAGAGUCUGAACCAGCCAAGUCGCGUGCAGGAAGAAUGUCCUUAAUGGAUUGUAAACUGCUUUUGCAGGGGAAUAAAGUGCAUCACGUGUGAUGUUUUGUAUGUACUCUGCGAAUAAGGAUCGGCUAACUCCGUGCCAGCCGCAGC
This 494-nucleotide ribosomal RNA is filed under the name uncultured bacterium. RNAcentral's name for it is "bacterial SSU rRNA". It matches the Rfam family "Bacterial small subunit ribosomal RNA", at positions 31 to 518 of the family's 1533-position model. The record is from RNAcentral.